RNAcentral lists this ribosomal RNA (491 nucleotides) under uncultured bacterium. RNAcentral describes it as "bacterial SSU rRNA". It matches the Rfam family "Bacterial small subunit ribosomal RNA", at positions 903 to 1397 of the family's 1533-position model. The record is from RNAcentral.
AAAGGAAUAGACGGGGACCCGCACAAGCAGCGGAGCAUGUGGUUUAAUUCGAAGCAACGCGAAAAACCUUACCAAGACUUGACAUCGUAUGAUCACUAUAGAAAUAUGGAAUCCCUUCGGGGCAUAUAGACAGGUGGUGCAUGGUUGUCGUCAGCUCGUGUCGUGAGAUGUUGGGUUAAGUCCCGCAACGAGCGCAACCCUUAUGAAUAGUUGCCAAUAUUAAGUUAGGAACUCUAUUCAGACUGCCGUGGAUAACACGGAGGAAGGUGGGGAUGACGUCAAAUCAUCAUGCCCCUUACGUCUUGGGCUACACACGUGCUACAAUGGCUAUUACAAAGAGCUGCAAUAUCGUAAGAUGGAGCGAAUCUCAUAAAAAUAGUCUCAGUUCGGACUGUGGGCUGCAACUCGCCCACACGAAGUAGGAGUUGCUAGUAAUCCCGAAUCAGCAUGUCGGGGUGAAUGCGUUCCCGGGUCUUGUACACACCGCCCGU